GAUGAACGCUGGCGGCGUGCCUAAUACAUGCAAGUCGAACGCAUUGAGAAAAGUGCUUGCACUUUUCAAUUUGAGUGGCGAACGGGUGAGUAACACGUGGGCAACCUACCUGAUAGCGGGGGAUAACGAGUGGAAACAUUCGCUAAUACCGCAUAACAAUAGAGAAGGCAUCUUCUUUAUUUAAAAGGCGCUUUCAAGCGUCACUAUCAGAUGGGCCCGCGGUGCAUUAGUUAGUUGGUGGGGUGAAGGCCUACCAAGACGAUGAUGCAUAGCCGAGUUGAGAGGCUGAUCGGCCACAUUGGGACUGAGACACGGCCCAAACUCCUACGGUAGGCUGCAGUAGGGAAUCUUCCACAAUGGACGAAAGUCUGAUGGAGCAACGCCGCGUGUGUGAUGAAGGCUUUCGGGUCGUAAAGCACUGUUGUAUGGGAAGAAAUGCUAGGCUAGGAAAUGAGCUUAGUUUGACGGUACCAUACCAGAAAGGGACGGCUAAAUACGUGCCAGCCGCCGCGGUAA
Molecule: ribosomal RNA, 516 nt
Filed under: uncultured bacterium
Lineage: Bacteria
Description: partial 16S ribosomal RNA
Rfam family: Bacterial small subunit ribosomal RNA
Source: RNAcentral